UACGUCGGCAGCGAGCGUUGUUCGGAAUUACUGGGCGUAAAGAGUGUGUAGGCGGUUAGUUAAGUCUGGCGUGAAAGCUCUCGGCUAAACCGGGAGAGGUCGUUGGAUACUGGCUGACUAGAGGACGGUAGAGGCGUGUGGAAUUCCGGGUGUAGUGGUGAAAUGCGUAGAGAUCCGGAGGAACACCAGUGGCGAAGGCGACACGCUGGGCCGUACCUGACGCUAAAGCGCGACAGCAUGGGGAGCAAACGGG
Molecule: ribosomal RNA, 253 nt
Filed under: uncultured bacterium
Lineage: Bacteria
Description: partial 16S ribosomal RNA
Rfam family: Bacterial small subunit ribosomal RNA
Source: RNAcentral